Molecule: long non-coding RNA, 434 nt
Organism: Mastomys coucha (southern multimammate mouse)
Lineage: Eukaryota; Metazoa; Chordata; Mammalia; Rodentia; Muridae
Exons: 2
Source: RefSeq, a predicted model, not a curated record
CUUCCAAAGCGCUUCAUGAGUCACUGUGGCCACAGAAGCAGUGACAGGUGAACAUAUCAGAACUUGAAGAACUGGUGUGAGCCUCAGCUGGGGAAGGGGGGCUCACCAGAAGGGGCGCAGCAUCAGCUGGCAGGGAACACAGAAAGAUCGAGAAGAGACAGCAUCACCCUAGGAUUGGGCAGAAGGUCUCAGGCAAGCUCAGAGCCCGGCUGCUAAGAACUGCACAACAAAACUCAGACUUUCGGGAGCUUUCAUCCAACCCCUCCUACUGCAGACGGGGAAACUGAGGUUCAGGGUGGGGCUCUUUCAGCCAACUGUGGCAGAGAUGAGACUCCAACAUUAACCUCAUCCACCACAAGCCUAAAGUCUGAGCUGACAAAGCAUGAACCCUUUAGUUCAUUCGAGUAGCACAAGUAAAUAAGAGGGUGAAACAC